CACGUAGUUAGCCGUCCCUUUCUGGUAAGAUACCGUCACAGUGUGAACUUUCCACUCUCACACUCGUUCUUCUCUUACAACAGAGCUUUACGAUCCGAAAACCUUCUUCACUCACGCGGCGUUGCUCGGUCAGACUUCCGUCCAUUGCCGAAGAUUCCCUACUGCUGUCUCCCGUAGGAGUCUGGGCCGUGUCUCAGUCCCAGUGUGGCCGAUCACCCUCUCAGGUCGGCUAUGUAUCGUCGCCUUGGUGAGCCGUUACCCACCAACUAGCUAAUACAACGCAGGUCCAUCUGGUAGUGAUGCAAUUGCACCUUUUAAGCAAAUGUCAUGCAACAUCUACUCUUAUGCGGUAUUAGCUAUGUUUCCAAUAGUUAUCCCCCGCUACCAGGCAGGUUACCUACGCGUUACUCACCCGUUCGCAACUCAUCCAGAGAAGCAAGCUCCUCCUUCAGCGUUCACUUGCAUGUAUUAGGCCACGCCGCCAGCGUUCGUCCG
Molecule: ribosomal RNA, 495 nt
Filed under: uncultured Streptococcus sp.
Lineage: Bacteria; Bacillati; Bacillota; Bacilli; Lactobacillales; Streptococcaceae
Description: partial 16S ribosomal RNA
Source: RNAcentral